UGGAAUGUUUGUGUAAUCGAAUGUUGUUCUGUGACUGGUCUGUAUGUAUGUUGUGGAAUUCAGCAGGUUAUUACACCUGUCUUACGAGGAAAUUGUUAUCUAUGUGUUUGUCACAUUUCUUCUCAUGGAGAAAUAAACAAUGGUAUUUUAUGA
This is a long non-coding RNA of Magallana angulata, 153 nucleotides long. RefSeq lists it as uncharacterized. The transcript is spliced from 2 exons. NCBI's taxonomy places the organism in Eukaryota, Metazoa, Mollusca, Bivalvia, Ostreida, Ostreidae. The record is from RefSeq and is a predicted model, not a curated record.